RNAcentral lists this ribosomal RNA (497 nucleotides) under uncultured bacterium. RNAcentral describes it as "partial 16S ribosomal RNA". It matches the Rfam family "Bacterial small subunit ribosomal RNA", at positions 28 to 507 of the family's 1533-position model. The record is from RNAcentral.
GAUGAACGCUGGCGGCGUGCCUAAUACAUGCAAGUCGAGCGAACAGACUCUGGUGUUGCUCCUGUGACGAUAGCGCCGGGAGCGGGAGUAUAACAUGUAUAGAAUCUGUAUCAUACUGGGAUACCUUCGUGAGAAACGAUAGCAAACACGAGAAUAUAUUAUAACGUAUGGUGCAGUAGUGAAAGAGGUUUUUGCGCUCACACAUAGAGAGAUCCGCGCCGCAUUAGCUAGUUGGUAAGGUAAAGGCUUACCAAGGCGACGAUGCGUAGCCGACCUGAGAGGGUGAUCGGCCACACUGGAACUGAGACACGGUCCAGACUCCUACGGGAGGCAGCAGUAGGGAAUCUUCCGCAAUGGGCGAAAGCCUGACGGAGCAACGCCGCGUGAGUGAUGAAGGUCUUCGGAUCGUAAAACUCUGUUAUUAGGGAAGAACAAAUGUGUAAGUAACUAUGCACGUCUUGACGGUACCUAAUCAGAAAGCCACGGCUAACUACGUG